RNAcentral lists this unclassified non-coding RNA (275 nucleotides) under uncultured fungus. RNAcentral describes it as "partial contains small subunit ribosomal RNA, internal transcribed spacer 1, and 5.8S ribosomal RNA". The stretch from base 1 to 73 matches the Rfam family "Eukaryotic small subunit ribosomal RNA", at positions 1759 to 1831 of the family's 1831-position model. Lineage: Eukaryota; Fungi. The record is from RNAcentral.
CCAAACUUGGUCAUUUAGAGGAAGUAAAAGUCGUAACAAGGUUUCCGUAGGUGAACCUGCGGAAGGAUCAUUACCGAGUGUCGGGUGCUGUAGCGGCCCCCACUCCCACCCCUGUGUACCGGAGAUGAGCCAUCUGCCUCGGCGUGCGGCCCUAGCCGGCGCGCGCCGGCGGCACACACCUAGACCCCUUUGACACCCCCUGACGCACAAUCUCUUAAGGUUAGAAAACUUUCAACAACGGAUCUCUUGGUUCUGGCAUCGAUGAAGAACGCAGC